RNAcentral lists this long non-coding RNA (370 nucleotides) under Brassica napus (rape). RNAcentral's name for it is "long non-coding RNA (BNAP_LNC024232)". The record is from RNAcentral. Lineage: Eukaryota; Viridiplantae; Streptophyta; Magnoliopsida; Brassicales; Brassicaceae.
UAAUUACAUGACAAUCAUGACUCUUCAAGCCAGUAAACUUUCCUUCAAUUCUAUCAACGCAGUUCCCCAAAUUUGAUGCAUAUCCGUCAAGAAAUUUCACUUUAUCUGUAAUCCAAUCAAAGAACUCUUCUUUUCUAGCACCAUCCAGCCGAUAAAUGGGAAAAUGGGCCGUACCGUUCUCAUCAACGUGAAGUUCAGAACGAUCACAGAUAUCGACUAAAUCCAACCUUGACUUCAAAUUAUCCUUCGUUUUACCUUGGAUGUUAAGGACUGUGUUCAUCAGAUUGUAGAAGAAGUUCUUCUCAAUAUGCAUGACAUCUAAAUUAUGUCGCAAUCGUUGACUCUCCCAAUAUGGCAGAUCCCAGAAAAU